UGUCAGGACUCAGCUGGCAGGGCUGUGCAGCUUGCUGCCAGCUCCGUAACCUCUGCUUCUUCACAGGUGUUCGUGGUCGGACGGUGGGCGGAGUGCGCACACCUGCAGCUCGUUCAGCAGCAUCUGAGCCUACUAUAAGAACUGCGUCCGAACAGCGAGAGGACGCCAGAGUGUUUUCGUUGCGGUUUCCCUGUGUCUUCGUGAACCCUGCGUGACUCUUGAGUUCCUCGACUCGAUCAGACGUACCUCUGCUCUGGACGCGAGUCACACCAACCUUCUCUCCGGUUCCUCUCGCUGCUCUGGAUCCCAGGACGCCCUCGGUGCUGCUCGGACCCCCUCGCCCCGCUCUCCGCCGACCCGAACGCCUGCUCAAGACAACCCAGCUGAGUCCUCCUACCGUCUCCCCGCUCGGUUAUCCAAUCCUCGUGUUCGAGCCGUCAUCGUGUUCCCGUCCCGCAGUCCAGCGCUGCGCUCCGUGUGCUCCCGUGUAAAUAAUAAAUCCUUGAAUUCUGACCUGUGUCUCCGAGUGUGUUUUCUGCAUGUGGGCCCGACAUCUCAAGGCAAACAUGACAGAAGAACACUCUGGCC
Molecule: long non-coding RNA, 588 nt
Organism: Fundulus heteroclitus (mummichog)
Lineage: Eukaryota; Metazoa; Chordata; Actinopteri; Cyprinodontiformes; Fundulidae
Exons: 3
Source: RefSeq, a predicted model, not a curated record